Neogale vison (American mink) is the source of this 107-nucleotide small nuclear RNA. The record is from RefSeq and is a predicted model, not a curated record. Lineage: Eukaryota; Metazoa; Chordata; Mammalia; Carnivora; Mustelidae.
GUGCUCACGUCAGCAGCACAGACACUAAAAUUGGAAGGAUACAGAGAAGAUUAGCAUGGCCCCUGUCUGAGGAUGACAUACAAAUUCUUGACGCGUUCCAUGGAAAA